RNA transcript from Arabidopsis lyrata subsp. lyrata, 4424 nucleotides. It is a transcript of the gene named villin-3, with no coding region annotated. The record is from RefSeq and is a predicted model, not a curated record. NCBI's taxonomy places the organism in Eukaryota, Viridiplantae, Streptophyta, Magnoliopsida, Brassicales, Brassicaceae. The transcript has 14 exons.
AGAAUUUAGAAAAAUUAUCCAUUGUUUUCUUAUCAGUUAUCAAGAUGUGUGCUUAUUUUAACAUGACUUUAAACCUCUUGCUUUAGGUCGUUUAGGAGGAUGGUUUUGUAUUAGUUGUUUCCUGAACUCUGUUUAGUUGUUUAUUUAUUUUCUAAUAUUUGGUUCUUCAUAGUUGAUAACAUAAGUUACUUUUAUUUACUUGUGUAAAUGAUUUCUUACGUAGAUGAUUUGACUCCAUUAUACCUUUUUUUUUACUUCUGAAUUGGGAUUUGAUUCGUCUCCUUUUUAUUUGUGAGUUACUCCUUGUUGCAAGCUCUGUUUGAAACGAAUCAACUAUUGGAUCAAGACUGAAGAUGAGAACCUAAUUAUGUAGCUGCAGAGGUUUAUUAAGUUGGUUUUUCAUUUGUUUCUCAGUCUAUGUUUACAACUGUCUUUCUUGAUGUUAUAGUGCAUAGACAUGCUCGAAGUUGUUACAUUUUGUGGUGCCAUAGAACCAGAGCUUUUGCAGGGGAGAAGAAGUGGAAGAUUACUGAGAUCAAGUCAUGAUUAGAAGAAGCUGAUGUCUUGAUCUGGAAAAUGGAUCUUGAGGCUAGAAGUUUGCAGUCAAGUGCUAAAGCUGUAUGUCUUUCUAAACUAAAAGAUCGUAAAUUGAUGGAAUUCAAACGAGCGUAAAUCGAUCUGAACCAAUUGAAAAAGGAAUUCAAACGAGUCUCGUCCAUGGCGAAUUGAUGGAAUCCAGAGUGGCGGAGGUAUCUGCUGAUCAGAGAGGAAGAUUGGCAAUGUCAGUGAAGAGGCUUGACCAAUCAAGAGACAGAGUCAGGGAGAUUAGAAGACUAAUGCCGGAGACAGAAGAGGUUGGAAUCUUUGUUUUCCAAGAUCUUAAUCAGCAAUGCCAAACCCUUCUUCAUGUGCACACCAAGGUACCGCAAUUACUCGAGUUGCUUUUGGUAUCUAUCAGUGCCAAUGAUUUACUUUCAUCAUGGGAGAAGAGUCGAAGAAAACUUCCACAAAUCACAUUUUUCAGGUUGUGAAAAUUGAUGGGCAUGUGAUUGGUGACGGAAAAGUGGGGCGGGUAACAAGAACACUGCAAAACGCUUAUAAGAAAAGACAGAGGAUUCUGGUGUGCCAAUACCUACUUACAAAAACCUUGAAGUACAAAACGAGAGGUUUUGAACACGAGGGAACUCAACCAAAAGAAGCAUUCAACGUUCAUAUUCAGUUUAUUUUUGAUGUGAGACAUACAGAAAGCCUGAGAGGAUUUGGAUUCCAGGAUCAUAUGACACCUUCGGAGCAGCUCUGAUGGAGAACUGCAUCUCACUCCGGGAUCUGAAAGCAUCUAAACUUUCUGGAAAUGUUUUAAAUAGACUAUUCAACCUGAACAAAUUCAUGGCGUCUGAAACUUAUUCAUUCGCCAGGAAGAAGUACUUUGACAUGGGUCACUUGGUUAACGCAUUCAAAUAAGUUAUCGGUAACUGAUUGAUCAAUACUUGUCGUGUCUUGGAGUUGGCCGAAUCAAUAUCCUUUUGUAAUGUUUCCUUUCCUGAGUGUACCUGAUUGAUCAAUACUUCUUUUUAUUGGCUUUUAUUUUCUCAUUAAAAAAAAAAAAACUAAAUAAGUUAGUUUUUGUUCAGGCUCUAUUAUGGUACCAUUUUAUAACCUUUCUGAUAUUAAUGGGUUGUGAGGACUCCAAACAAUUUCUAAUCAGGUAUUUAAGGAUUUGGCUACUUCUUUCUUAAGGAGGAUCAAGAAACAUCAGUUCAUCUAGCGAGCACAAUUACAUAUUCAUUGAAGGGAAGAGCACUGCACGUACCUUCUUUUGUUAUUGUAAGUAUUAGCCACUAGCACUGAAAGAUUAUUAAAUAACUUGAUCUUCUUGCAGGCCCAUAUAUUUGAGGGUAAAGAACCUCCAAAAUUUGUUGCACUUUUUCAACAUAUGGUGGUCCUUAAGGAGCUGAAGCUUUAUCAACACUUUAGUUGUGUCUUGGAUGAAAAGAGAGGAAGCUGGCCCAAUAAAUAUCUUCUAUUCCUAUCUACGUAUUCUAUUUGUUGAAGUUUACAGCUGGAGUGACAUAAAUGUUGGUUUGAUUCCUUUAAUAUUUUUUUUGGUUUCGUGAUUGUUUUUUUUCUGUUUAUAUGUGAAGUACUUCUUGUUGCCACCAUGGAGUCGAGAGUGCAAGCUCUGCCAUGUUCUGUUCGUUUCCCAAUGAAAAAUGGUUUCUUCUUGAUCCUUCUUUUUUUAAAGCGAGUGUAAAGACUCGUUGAAGCUAUUUUCUUCUUCUGAUUACAUUGCGCCUUGUCACCUUUUUCUUACAUAGUAGAUGGCUGACUUCAUUAUUUCAACCAAAUCUAACAUUGAAAUCUUUUUUUUUCAGGUAUGAUUUCUCUCAUUUAAAUUUUACUACUUGUUUUGGUUUUUUUUAUAGUCUAACGCGUGCAGGUUGAAUUUUUCUCUGAAGGAAUGCAUGUUUGCUGCUUGCUGUUUGCUUUAACUUAUAUUACCAACACGGCCUUAAAUUUAGUUUUCCAAAUGGUUUUAGUCUUUCUCAUUAACUAAAAUGUCUGUGAGAGUGAAAGCUCUUCUCUGCUCUACUAUAUAUAUGAAUUAGUUUUCGAAGAGGUUUAGAAGGUCAUCUUAUUUCAUGCCUUUUUCAGUAUUUGGUCUGUAUCAAUAUUGUGAUUUGAUAGCAUGUGGGGUGUGCUAGUAAUUGUUUUGGUAUCAGUUCUAUUUGCUAACAAUCUUGCAGUAAUUCUUUCACUGGUUUUUAAGCGAUUAUCUUUGGAUGAGUUUCUUUGUUUGAUAUCUAAGCUGCUUGAAUUGGUUAAUUUAUGUGUUAUAUCUUUUGGUUAUAGGUUGUCGAUGAUUCUAGAUACGUAUAGAUUUUGAUGUUCCAAGAUUUCGAUUUUCACUUUCCUUCUGUUCUUCAGAGAGUUAAUGUUAUGUUGGAAGUUCUUUGUGAUUAGUUGGCCAAAGUGAUUGUAUAGAUUUGUUGUUUCGGCUCUUGAUUAUGUGGGUUCACUUCUUUGUGUUAGGUUCUCUUUAUUAUAGAGUGUUCAUGUUUUCACGCUUGCUUUAGGUCGCUUAGGAGGAUGGUUUUGUAUUAGUUGUUUCUUGAACUCUGUUUAGUUGUUUAUGUUCUUUGACUAAACGUUUUCUUAAGUCUAAAUCAUAUGAGAAGGGGGUCUACUUUUAAGUAUGGUGCUAGUUAAUGUGAUUAUGUUAGAGAGGGUUUUGGAACGUACUCAUUUAAUAGCAAUUAAAUUAUGUAGUUUCGUCACAUGCCAACUCUGUUUUCAGCACAUUUAUAUAGAAUGACGUUAGAGAUUAUAUCUCAUUUCUUAAAAUGACCAGUAGACUAAUUAAAACCGAGGAAGCUAUGCAUUUAUAGAGGAGGAUAGAUUUGUAGCUACUAGUAUCCCAUGUUCUUGAUAUGUUGACUUAGACGCUCUUUGCUUUAACUGAGCCGAGACAGUUCAAAUGGAAGCCAAGGGGCUGAAGCUUUAUAUCUGCAUUCAAUUCUACACCAUCAAAGUCACCUCCAGGAAGACCCGAAGUAUUAGUUAGGCAUCACAAAGAGGGUAAUUUCUUUACCAGUAUUGAUCUAUUGCUGAUGAGUGAAAAGGUAUACUCCUGUAAGUACAAACCAUACAAGACGCAUGAUAUUUGGAAAAACAAAGGUAAAAAAGUAGAAUUGCAAUUUUACAUUUUUUACACUGAUGCGUGUGAGACUUUUUUGUGUGUCAAACAUCUCAAACUUUGCUAUGUAACUUUUCUGUUUAUUUCGAGCGAUCACCUUGUUUGAGUUUUGGUAUUAUAUGGGGCAACUCUUGCACUGUCUUCAGAAACUUUCUUGAUUCAUGGGUGUUUUCUUUCUACUGUUUUAUUCCUUUUGCAUUGGUUACCUUUAUUGACUUGUUGAAAUUACUUCCUAUGCAGAUACAGGGGAUAUCACGUUUUGGUCUCUUUUUUGUGAUGGUCCUCAGGAUUUGGCAACCCGUGGCAUCAAUCUCAUCUUGAGUGAAGUAUAUUUUAGGUGUGUACAAUAAUUUACUCUUCUGGAUCAGUCCAGCAGUGGGAUGUGUUUCAUUCUCUCUUGAUUUAAAGAUUUUGCAUACUUUAUUCUCGCUGAGGAGGAUAAGUCAUCUGAGCCUAGUCUUAAAUAUUGGAUUUAGCAACCCGUGGCAUCAAUCUCAUCUUGAGUGAAGUAUAUUUUAGGUUCAAGUGCUUAUAUAUACCUGGCUGGAGAAUGGAGAUGGGGUGGUGAUAACUCCCAAUGAACAUGUACUCUUUGAAGAUAUCCUAUGUCUAAUAUUCUACAUGAUUAAACCAGAGGCAAGAGUUCUUUCGAAUAAUAAUAUGGUCUUUUCAUAUUCCGGGCUGUUUUUUUUUUUUGCUUUCUUAUUUGAAACAUCAAUUGUUGAAUGAC